RNAcentral lists this ribosomal RNA (245 nucleotides) under uncultured bacterium. RNAcentral's name for it is "partial 16S ribosomal RNA". It matches the Rfam family "Bacterial small subunit ribosomal RNA", at positions 28 to 280 of the family's 1533-position model. The record is from RNAcentral.
GACGAACGCUGGCGGCGUGCUUAACACAUGCAAGUCAUGGGGGCCGGCCAAGGGACGAACCGGCGAACGGGUGCGUAACACGUGAGCAACCUACCGAUUUGUGGGGGAGUAGCCGGCCUAACGGCCGGGUAAUACCGCAUACGCUUGUAAGGCCUCCUGGUCUAACAAGGAAAUCUUCGGAGCAGAUCGAGGGGCUCGCGGCCUAUCAGCUAGUUGGCGAGGUCACGGCUCACCAAGGCGACGAC